GCAACGCCGCGUGAAGGAUGAAGUCUUUCGGGAUGUAAACUUCGGAAAUAUGGGAAGAAUAAAUGACGGUACCAUAUCUAAGGUCCGGCUAACUACGUGCCAGCAGCCGCGGUAAUACGUAGGGACCAAGCGUUGUUCGGAUUUACUGGGCGUAAAGGGUGCGUAGGCGGCGCCGCAAGUCACUUGUGAAAUCUCCGGGCUUAACUCGGAACGGCCAAGUGAUACUGCAGUGCUAGAGUGCAGAAAGGGCAACUGGAAUUCUUGGUGUAGCGGUGAAAUGCGUAGAUAUCAAGAGGAACACCUGAGGCGAAGGCGAGUUGCUAGGCUGACACUGACGCUGAGGCACGAAAGCCAGGGGAGCGAACGGGAUUAGAUACCCCGGUAGUCCUGGCCCUAAACGAUGAAUGCUUGGUGUCCGGAGUUUUAAUUCUCCGGGUGCCGUCGUUAACGCUUUUAGCAUUCCGCCUGGGGGAGUACGCUCGCAAGAGUGAAACUCAAAGGAAUUGACGGGGNCCCGCACAAGCGGUGGANCAUGUGGUUUAAUUCNACGCAACGCGAANAACCUUACCUGGACUCGAAUGCGAUGNAAGGUCGCUUAAU
Molecule: ribosomal RNA, 600 nt
Filed under: uncultured bacterium
Lineage: Bacteria
Description: bacterial SSU rRNA
Rfam family: Bacterial small subunit ribosomal RNA
Source: RNAcentral